GAGUGUGACUCAAUGGUAGAGCACUUGCCUAGCACACAAGAGGCCCUGAGUUUGAUCCUCACCACCA
This 67-nucleotide transfer RNA is filed under the name Marmota monax (woodchuck). Its description in RNAcentral is "tRNA.Ala". The record is from RNAcentral. Lineage: Eukaryota; Metazoa; Chordata; Mammalia; Rodentia; Sciuridae.